Molecule: non-coding RNA, 66 nt
Organism: Trichonephila clavipes
Lineage: Eukaryota; Metazoa; Arthropoda; Arachnida; Araneae; Nephilidae
Source: the annotation of a GenBank genome assembly
CAGCGCAAUGGAUAGCUUGUUGGAUUACUAUUCCAAAGGUCAAGGGUUUGAAUCCCACCUGGAAGU